CCAUAAAACAACCGAAGUUUUAACAUUGUUUGCAAUCAUAGAAGAAGCAACAUUAUUAGAGAUAGAGUUAAGAGAAGUGUCUUCAAGCACGUAGAGAUCAUCUUUAGUGCCACCUUGUCCGAACACAUUACCACUCUUAAUAUCCUGCAAUUUCACAUCAUUAGGACUAAAAAUAGCAAGGCAAUUUAAAUCUCUAGUAGUCUUCUUAACUGAGAGCAAAUUCGAAGUAAACUUAGGCAUAUAAAAGGCACUAGACCGUUUACUAAAUAGGUUUAUACUACAUAUUCCUUCAAUCGGCACAUUAUGACCAUUCGCAACUUUAACACUCCCUAAAGCCGGUUUAAUGUUCUCUAACAACUUAGGAUUACUUAUCAUAUGGUGAGAAGCUCAUGAGUCUAAUACUAAUGACUUUGAAUCAUAAGAAUUAGAAGUAAAGAGAGAGGUACCGCCGGGACUGAAUUUAGAUGCGAUGGAGUGAAUGAGAGCUUCGAGGUCCGCCUUGUUCAUCAC
RNAcentral lists this long non-coding RNA (510 nucleotides) under Arabidopsis lyrata. RNAcentral's name for it is "long non-coding RNA (ALYR_LNC001252)". The record is from RNAcentral. Lineage: Eukaryota; Viridiplantae; Streptophyta; Magnoliopsida; Brassicales; Brassicaceae.